Molecule: ribosomal RNA, 465 nt
Filed under: uncultured bacterium
Lineage: Bacteria
Description: partial 16S ribosomal RNA
Rfam family: Bacterial small subunit ribosomal RNA
Source: RNAcentral
GACGAACGCUGGCGGCGUGCUUAACACAUGCAAGUCGAACGGUGAACCUGCUUCGGUGGGGGAUCAGUGGCGAACGGGUGAGUAACACGUGGGCAACCUGCCCUCAGCUCUGGGAUAACUCCAAGAAAUUGGGGCUAAUACUGGAUAUGACCGCUGACCGCAUGGUCUGGUGGUGGAAAGAUUUAUCGGCUGGGGAUGGGCCCGCGGCCUAUCAGCUUGUUGGUGGGGUAGUGGCCUACCAAGGCGACGACGGGUAGCCGGCCUGAGAGGGUGACCGGCCACACUGGGACUGAGACACGGCCCAGACUCCUACGGGUGGCAGCAGUGGGGAAUAUUGCGCAAUGGGCGAAAGCCUGACGCAGCGACGCCGCGUGGGGGAUGACGGCCUUCGGGUUGUAAACCUCUUUCAGCAGGGACGAAGCGAAAGUGACGGUACCUGCAGAAGAAGCACCGGCCAACUACGUG